RNAcentral lists this ribosomal RNA (498 nucleotides) under uncultured Solitalea sp. Its description in RNAcentral is "bacterial SSU rRNA". It matches the Rfam family "Bacterial small subunit ribosomal RNA", at positions 377 to 875 of the family's 1533-position model. Lineage: Bacteria; Pseudomonadati; Bacteroidota; Sphingobacteriia; Sphingobacteriales; Sphingobacteriaceae. The record is from RNAcentral.
GCAAGCCUGAACCAGCCAUGCCGCGUGCAGGAAGACGGCCCUAUGGGUUGUAAACUGCUUUUGUCAGGGAAUAAACCCCCGCUCGUGAGCGGGGCUGAAGGUACCUGAAGAAUAAGCAUCGGCUAACUCCGUGCCAGCAGCCGCGGUAAUACGGAGGAUGCAAGCGUUAUCCGGAUUCAUUGGGUUUAAAGGGUGCGCAGGCGGAUUGGUAAGUCAGGGGUGAAAUCCCACAGCUCAACUGUGGAACUGCCUUUGAUACUGUCAGUCUAGAGUAUAGUUGAAGUUGGCGGAAUGUGUCAUGUAGCGGUGAAAUGCUUAGAUAUGACACAGAACACCGAUCGCGAAGGCAGCUAGCUAAGCUAUAACUGACGCUCAUGCACGAAAGCGUGGGGAUCAAACAGGAUUAGAUACCCUGGUAGUCCACGCUGUAAACGAUGAUUACUCGAUGUUGGCGAUACACAGUCAGCGUCUGAGCGAAAGCAAUAAGUAAUCCACCUG